Molecule: ribosomal RNA, 252 nt
Filed under: uncultured bacterium
Lineage: Bacteria
Description: partial 16S ribosomal RNA
Rfam family: Bacterial small subunit ribosomal RNA
Source: RNAcentral
UACGUAGGUCCCGAGCGUUGACCGGAUUUAUUGGGCGUAAAGCGAGCGCAGGUGGUUUAUUAAGUCUGGUGUAAAAGGCAGUGGCUCAACCAUUGUAUGCAUUGGAAACUGGUAGACUUGAGUGCAGGAGAGGAGAGUGGAAUUCCAUGUGUAGCGGUGAAAUGCGUAGAUAUAUGGAGGAACACCGGUGGCGAAAGCGGCUCUCUGGCCUGUAACUGACACUGAGGCUCGAAAGCGUGGGGAGCAAACAGG